CCUACGGGAGGCAGCAGUGAGGAAUAUUGGUCAAUGGACGGGAGUCUGAACCAGCCAAGCAGCGUGAAGGAUGACUGUCCUGUGUAUUGUAAACUUCUUUUGUCAAGGAAUAAAACGAGGCACGUGUCCCUUUUUGCAUGUACUUUAUGAAUAAGGAUCGGCUAACUCCGUGCCAGCAGCCGCGGUAAUACGGAGGAUCCGAGCGUUAUCCGGAUUUAUUGGGUUUAAAGGGUGCGUAGAUGGGUUGUUAAGUCAGUUGUGAAAUUGUGCGGCUCAACCGUAAAAUUGCAGUUGAGACUGGCAGUCUUGAGUACAGUUGAGGUAGGCGGAAUGCGUGGUGUAGCGGUGAAAUGCUUAGAUAUCACGCAGAACUCCGAUUGCGAAGGCAGCUUACCAAACCGUGUCUGACACUGAGGCUCGAAAGUGUGGGUAUCAAACAGGAUUAGAUACCCGGGUAGUC
RNAcentral lists this ribosomal RNA (460 nucleotides) under uncultured bacterium. RNAcentral's name for it is "partial 16S ribosomal RNA". It matches the Rfam family "Bacterial small subunit ribosomal RNA", at positions 338 to 795 of the family's 1533-position model. The record is from RNAcentral.